AUUGAACGCUGGCGGCAUGCCUUACACAUGCAAGUCGAACGGCAGCACGGGAGCAAUCCUGGUGGCGAGUGGCGAACGGGUGAGUAAUGCAUCGGAACGUGCCCGAUCGUGGGGGAUAACGCAGCGAAAGCUGCGCUAAUACCGCAUACGAUCUGAGGAUGAAAGCGGGGGACCGUAAGGCCUCGCGCGAUCGGAGCGGCCGAUGUCAGAUUAGGUAGUUGGUGGGGUAAAGGCUCACCAAGCCAACGAUCUGUAGCUGGUCUGAGAGGACGACCAGCCACACUGGGACUGAGACACGGCCCAGACUCCUACGGGAGGCAGCUGUGGGGAAUUUUGGACAAUGGGCGAAAGCCUGAUCCAGCAAUGCCGCGUGCAGGAAGAAGGCCUUCGGGUUGUAAACUGCUUUUGUACGGAGCGAAAAGGCUCUCUCUAAUACAGGGGGCUCAUGACGGUACCGUAAGAAUAAGCACCGGCUAACUACGUGCCAGCCGCCGCCGUAA
Molecule: ribosomal RNA, 500 nt
Filed under: uncultured bacterium
Lineage: Bacteria
Description: partial 16S ribosomal RNA
Rfam family: Bacterial small subunit ribosomal RNA
Source: RNAcentral